GAUGUUUCCUCUAACCAAUCCAGACAGCGUUCUCUCCGGACUUUCCGACGAUUGGAUGGGUGUCACCGUCGUCCAAUGAUCCUGCAGUCACCAAGUUGUCGUGAGCUGUGGUUCAGCGCAGCCGUUUUCUUCCUUUUGCUCGUGUCUUUGGAAUAAAACGUCCAAAAGCAGGAUGUAUGGAAUCUCGCUAUAGCAGUUCCAAAUUUACAUCGAUGACAUUCAAGGAUAAUAGAAGUCAAGUUCUGGCAUCUGACUUGGGGGUGAUCUCCAUCCAGGAGAUCAAGAAGCUUGUUGAUGUCUCCAAUUAUUAAUAUUGACACAAUUAAAUGUUUUACAUGUCAUUCAACCAAACAAAGGCUACGCAUCACAAAUAAAAAUAAUGUGUUCUU
Molecule: long non-coding RNA, 389 nt
Organism: Cebus imitator (Panamanian white-faced capuchin)
Lineage: Eukaryota; Metazoa; Chordata; Mammalia; Primates; Cebidae
Exons: 2
Source: RefSeq, a predicted model, not a curated record